GAAUAUUAUAAUUGAGCUUACAACAGCUGGAGUAAAUGUAUAUAAACCAAGUAAAUUUAGACAACACUACAUCUCAAAGUUGUGUGCUUACCAUCACAUUGCCGCUGACAUCAAAUCCUUUAGGCUGAUCAUUAUGAAGCUUCUGACCCUACUCAUUUUGAGCGUUUGGCUAUUCUGUGCCAUCACCUACGCCACAGUGGAAGAGGAGAUUAAUGAUCAAGUUCGUCGCAACUUACCAUCGAAAGAUGUAAUGGAUCAAGCAAUAAAAAGAAUUCUAGAAUUGAUGAAGGGUUCACAGGGAUAGGGCAGUUUUCUU
Molecule: long non-coding RNA, 316 nt
Organism: Physella acuta
Lineage: Eukaryota; Metazoa; Mollusca; Gastropoda; Physidae
Source: RefSeq, a predicted model, not a curated record